This 21820-nucleotide long non-coding RNA is filed under the name Heterocephalus glaber (naked mole-rat). RNAcentral's name for it is "lncRNA (ENSHGLG00100043041.1)". Lineage: Eukaryota; Metazoa; Chordata; Mammalia; Rodentia; Bathyergidae. The record is from RNAcentral.
GGGUUUUGUGGCCUGCCCAACGCCAGGCUAGUGGAGCCGGAGGCUGGCGCCGCCGAGGCCGCCGCGGCCGGGGUGUGGGGAGUGCACCGCGCACGCGCGCCCGUGGGGUCGCCGGCUCCCCGCGCCCGGGCUCCGAGCGGCCGGAACCCUCGCGCCCCGCCCUGCCCGGAGCCACCCGGAGCCGCUGAGUCCCGGACCCGCUCCGCUGGCCGGGCGGGGCUAUUUUUUUCGGCCCGUGUUCUUUCAGCGGCCGGGAAGGAACAUUCUUGGCUUUCCCCGCCUGGCUGCGCCUGUUCCCGCUCCUCCCCCGCCGCGUGUUUUCCGCCCCAGUAAAGAUCGUGCCACACAAAUAAGCCUCGAAUGCCCUUUGCCAAGCGGGCGGGAGGGCACGAGUGCAGAGCCUGAGCGGGCCAUUUUCAGGGCGCGUCUCCGGAGCCGCUAAAAGUCUUGUUUUCUCCCCAAGUGGAAGGUAUAGGGGGCGGGGGCGGCGUGGGGCCGCUUCCAACUGCUACACACGCUCGAAUAGUUGUCAGUAAAAUCAAACUGACGUCAGCCCGGGGGAAAAAGGUCUCUUUUGUUCUCCUGUUCUUCCCCCUCUCCUCCCUUGCGAUCAAAGGCAAAAAACAUUUUUUUGGAGGUGGGGGAAAAGACAAAAAGGAAAAAAAAAUUGCAACGCAAAGAGAUAGCUUCCAUUAGAGCUCCUGCCCGGGCGACGGGAAUGUUUAAUGAAUGCAUCAAGUCUUUUGAUCACCCUCGCCCGGCUGGGUUCAGUAGUGCCGGAAGGUUAGUUGCAUAUCCUGUGGCUGAUCUGAAAUUCGAUCAGCAGAGGGGGCAAAGAAAAGAAAAGCAUUUUAAUGGGAAUCAAUAGAGGAUCAUAGGUCCUGGAAGGAAAUACGUGUUGAUUAAAAAUGCCAGAAGAUUAAAAAAAUGUUCACGACUGGUUAAAAAAUAAGGAGGAAAGGAAAAAGCAAGGGAGGGAGAGGGAAGAGAAGAGAGGAGGAUAGGGGGAGGAGGAGGGAAAAAAACCUCUUAGCAAUCUAUUUUCUGUGUGUGUUGCUGCCAGAGAGGCAGUCAGCAGACCAACAGUUUGUGUAAUGCUUCAAGCUACAGCGGGCAAAUUUAAAGCUGUAUGCUCAGAACAACAUAAUAAAUACUUAUUGAAAAUGCAUUUCUAUUUCUAAGCGGGGUUCACUCAUGCAUUAUACAAAACACCUAGGGCUGCAGUAGCGAGACACAGGGGACAAAUAUGGUGUACUGUGACUCAGGUUCUUAAAACUUGAGCUUUUAGCAGUUGAGAGUAAGAACAUACUUUUUUAAAGUUAAAAAAACAACAACUAGCAGCUUUGAAAGAUACCAAAGACUUAAAUUGCCCGAAACUUUACAUUAAGUCGUAACUUAAAAAAUAGUCUGAUAACUGAGGAUGAGGAGAGAGUGGGAGGGGAGUUAACCACGGUAGAUAGCAUAUUGACUGGGUUACAGAGUGGAAAAUUAUUGCCCUGUAGGUAGGCAAAGUGAUCAACAGUGUGAUAAAAUGGUUGAAGGUUUUAUGAAUAUCCAUCUACUACAGUAGGAAAGGAAAGGCGGCUUUUAAAAACCCACUCUGACACAAAAACACAGCUAUACAUCCUAUUUCUAUGGCUUUUUGGAAAAGAAUCAAUAGCGUUUACAUUUUUACACAUUAAACAAAGAAAGUUCCUUCAGUAUUGUGAAGACAUCCAGAAGGCAAUGAGAUCUCCCAUCCAGGAGAUCUUCAGUCAUGCUGUCCAGUGGAUCCUCCUCGAGUCUGAGCUGCAGCUGAGGUGAUGUUAAAUGACUUCCAAUACUGGCUUCUAAGAGUCUUGCUGUCUCUUGGAAUGAUGGCUCUUGGGACACUCCCUCCCAGGACCCAGCUGUAAUCUUCAAGAAUGAAUUGUGUGUAGGCCAUGUUGUUUCUCCUCUGUGAUGCUUGCUUGCCAUCCCUGCCUUGGAGCCAGCCCAUUAUGGACUGAAACCUCUACAAACUAGCUGGGUCUUCUGGCUUGGACCCGGCUUGGAGAGGAUCCCAGGAAAAAGCACAGAGUGAGUCGAAGCACUGGCCAGAUGGCGACCCUGUGAGCUCUCUGAUUCUCCUUUCUUUAUCUGUAAAAUGAGGGGCUCCCGUCCCCCAUAGCACUGCAAAUCUCUCUCGCUCUUUUUUUUUUUGGUACUGGGGAGUGAACUUGGGACCUUGUGCUUGCGAGGCAGGCAGCAGAACCACUGAGCUAAAUUCCCAGCCCUAGCACUGCAAGCCUCAAACUUCACCUUUGGAUCCAAUCCCAUUCUUUUCAAUAAUGUCACCUUUGCUUACUUUUAUAAACACAUAGGAGCAAGUGAUACUUGCUUACUAACUUAAUUAAAAAAAACAAAACAAAAAAAGAACCAUCUCGGUCUCUACAGGUUCUGAAAAACAGCCUUCCAGACCCUGAACACCCCAAGGCGGGGCUUGUGUGCCCAAGCGGCUGGAGUCCCUGGCCUUGGAAGGGUCAGGUAGAACUGCUCUGCGGCGCCCUCUGGUGGCCACUCUCCGGCGUGGUCAUCGUGCACUGAGGGUUCUCCUUGGGCAUGGUGAGGGAGGACAUAUCUGAGGAAGAGAAUUAUUCUGAAAAAUGUGUAUCUGGUAUUUCAAAUGGAGACAUGGAAAAUGACAUCUUUCUAUUCUGGAAGUAGCUCUAUUAGUGUCCAGUGAUGAAGAUGCCAGAAAAAAGUGGCCCAUUCAUUAUAUUUAUGUUGUAUGAUAUUGUACCUCAGAGGGUGAAGUCAAUGAGAAGAAUAAGUAAUUGAAACAAGCAUUUUCCUUCCCUUGGCAGAAAUUCAGUCAUUAGCAAUAUACCUAUUUUACAAGGGGCGAUUAGAUAAAUUAGAGAUUAAAGAAAGUGGAACAGAUGUUUUUCCUGUGAUAAGCAUUAUUCUAUUAAAAAAAACUCCAGAGAGUUAGAAUCUGAGCAGGAAACAUGAAUGCACACUUUUUUUUUGGGUGCUUUUACACCAAAGAAAUAGGCAGGAAGGCAAAGAAAUAGAAGGGAGAGAAAGCUGACCGGCAGUGUCAUCCCUGGACAUCGCGGUGACCCACAGUGACAUAACUAGCAGCAGUCCCUUCCGGCCGUGUUGGGAGCAAGCUGGCUUCCUGUGCACUCUGCUCCAGGUGCUUCUUGGACCUCACCUUUAAUCCCUUCAGGAGCAGAAUAGAGGCAGCCAUUGUUCUCUGUUUCAGAUAAGAGAGGAAGGGGAACUCCAGGGCUGAUGAUUUGAGAUGCAGGCCUGGUUCUCAAUCAGCUUGCAGUGUCGCCUGGUAGCUUGUUAGAAAUGCAGAUUCUUGGCCCUGCCCCAGACCUCCUGAAUCAGAAAGCUGGUUGUGGGACACAGCAAUGUGAGUCUCACCCAGCCUUGGGGGAGUCUGAUGCUGCUAAAGAUGGAGAACUGUGGAGUGCAUAGGAAUCUUCUGGGAAGCCCAAAUGACAGAAUUGCAGAUGCUUGGACCCUGGCCUCAGAGACUGGGUGGAAUUGGUCGGGUGGGGUGCAAGCGAUUCUGCUGUGCAGCCUGGUGCCAGUGUCAGAACCUCUAGGGAAAAGAAAGGCUGGUGGGACCGGAACUCAGGUAUGUCUCGUCUCCUCCUCAGUCCUCUGCUUGGACCCACCACCUGGCUGCCUCAGUAGGUCACAGCCUGCCUUUGCGGUGAAGAGAAAGAGGAAGACGUGUGCCUGACUUCACCCAGACUGCACAAGGGGCCAGUGCUUCCUCAUGGACCUGGCGUGUGUCCUCCCCCAAACCUAGGUUGGGUCCAGAAUAGUUCUGUCACCCAGUAUGGCCUCAUGACUCACCAGGACUUGGCUGCCUAUCUUCUGGGGAGAUUUUAUUUUCCUCUAAGAGAGAGCUCCAAGGAAAUGCCACAUACUAACUGUAUGCUGUCUGGUCUUUCUCCAAACUUGGCUGGGAGUGAUGCCCGAACUCUGUACUUGCUGGCUCUGUGGUGAACCCACCUGAGUGAGGCAGGGGAGUGAGGUGGAAAAGUGGGUCUCAGUGGAGUGGCUGAGGCUACAGAGGCCACUCUGCCGGUGGAGGAGGGGUCACCUUCCUUCACGGGUUGGAAACCCAACCCAAGCAGCCAGACACCUCCUAGAGAACACAUCUGAGUCCCACCCUCUCUUAAGGCUGCACUUCCCAUUCUGUCAGGUUCCCUGACCCCCAGGACUCUGGGUCACUGUCAUCUCACCCAUCAACUUGCCUGUUCCACCUGCCUGCUACUUCCAAGUCUGUUUUACUUUAUGGUUGUUUGUGGUUGUUAGGAUAGAAAGAGGCUUUCAAGAGACAAGCGAGGAAACAGUGACCCCAGAAGGAGCAAGUCCUAAGGUUCAGUAGGUACCAGGAAGGUGAAGGUUGGAUUUCUCUAGAGUCGAGAUUCCCAGAACCAGACUAGGCCCCUAACCCUCUGCUUCCUUUGGGGUCUGAAUUUUCUGGGAACUGUACUGUUGGCUGAUUCUGUGUGUCUUCAACUUUUGAUGCCUGGAAGUAGUUUACCCAGAUCAGAUGUGCCUUUUCACUAUUACAGGUGCUUCUUCAGGGUCUCCCUCCCACACAGGAAGGAACAUCCAUUUCUCUGGGGGGUCUGUGUAGACAGCAAACUGUCACUGGAGAGAACUGUUAAUAAUAAUGGCAACAAUACUGUUUAUUCAGUUGUUUGUUCAACCAUUUAUAAUUUGACAAAUGUGUAUUGCAUGUCUGCUGUGUCAGACACCAGGUCCAAUGAGUUAGUGGGUAAUUAAAGUACAAUUUACAGCAUUGUCUGAAAAUAGGUCAUUAUGAAAUCAUUGAGAAAAGCUCCCAAUCCAGGAAUGGGGACACUGGGACUGUGCUAGGAGGGCAUAAUGGGAGAGUGUUUCAGAUGACAAGGAGGGAGAGGACUGUAAGAGCAGGACAGAGGGCUGUGAGAUAUGAGGAAAUGGUAUGGAGAGGAGCCCAUAGUGCAAUAUCAUUGCGGCAGGCAGGGAGUAGGAGAGAAGAAGGCCAAAAGAGGGGCACCUUGUGCUCUAUUGUACUUUACUCUGAGAACAGAGGAGCCAUUCAAGGAGUUAGAAGAGGGGAGGGGCCACACAAACAGGCAGAGUGAAGAAUAAAUUGAACCUGCAUGCAUCCAUCAUCCAAUUUUGAUACUAAUUCAUAGCCAACUUUAUCUCUUCUCUCACUCUUCCUUCCUUCACUUAAAUUAGAGACGCUUUUUGUGAGAAAGUAGAGUUUCAGUUGAUUUGCUUUGGGAUCCACCCCAAGGGGAUUGGUAGAGCACACUUGUAGGUGUUUUUGGAUGGGUCACAGAGGCAUGGCCUCGGGGUCCAUUUCUGGUCCCUUAUUCGCUCUGCUCUAGGAUUGUUCCCCUGCUCUGCUUCCCACUCUCCAUAUGCUAAACUGCUUUGCUCUACCCUAUCCUUCUGCCAUGAUGUUCUUGCCUUGGAGCCAGCUGACUAUGGACUGAAUUCUCUCAAACCAUAAGCUAAAUUAAUCCUUUUUUCCCUUUUAAAUCGUGAGUGUUGGGUACUGUGUCCAGCAAUAGGAAAGCUAAAAAAUUCCUUGAUUUAUGAUGGGGUUACUUCUUGAUAAACUUAUUGUGGUUCAAAAUAUCAUGAGUCAAAAAUGCAUUCAGUACACCUAACCUAGCAAAUAUAAGUUGACUGAAUCUGUCCUAAAUGUGUUCAGAACACUUACAUUACCUACAUUUGGGCAAAAUCCCCCACAAAAAGCUAUUUUACAAUAAAGUGUUGAAUAUCUCAUGUAAUUUAUUGAAAACUGUACUGAAGAUGAAAAACAAAGAUUGUACAGGUACACUGUUGUGUUAUUGCAAAGUUGCACAAUUAUAAAUUUAACCAUUAUAAGUGGGGAUAUCUAUAUUUUGAAGGAAGUCUCUGAUAUUGUCACUUCUUUAAACAUUUUAAUACUUGUUUCUAAAGGAGAAGACCUUGGUAAAUAAAACAGAACCACAAUAUCAUAUCAAAAAAAAUAAGAAUUCCUAAAGAACAAACAUGUACUGAGUUCUUAAAUUUUUUCCUGAUGUUCUUAUAAUUUUUUUCACUUUGAUUGAAUCAGGAUCUAAUAAGGUCCAUAUUGGCUGUAUGUCUCUGAAGUCAUCUCUCUCUCUAUUUAUUUCUCUGUAACACAUUUGUUAAACAGGGUUUCUUUGUCCUGUAUUGCUCCUCAGAGUUUAGAUUUGCUGAUUGUAGCCUGGUGGUGUCAUUUAGCAUGUCCCUCUGUUCCCUGUAAUUAAUGUACAUGGCAGGGACGAAGAUAGGUGGAUAAAAUUCAGGGUUGAUUUUUUUUUUUUUUGGAUACAUAAACCUCAUAGGUAGAUCUUGGUUCAUAGCACUCUAGAGUCAGUAAUUUUCUUGGUGCCCUUGGGGCAAAAGAAUACCUAAUUUGAUUAGUCAUAUUCAAACAAUUUAAUAAGUACUUAAAUUCAAACAACUAAGUGGCCUUUUGAAAACUAAUGUAUCUAAAUUAAGUAAAAAAUGUUUUUAUUGCAUCACUAAAUAAUCGCAAUUGUUAGUUGUGCACUGAAUUACUUCUCAAACUUUGGAAGCAUAUUGAACACCAUUGUCACAAUUUGCUCUUUUGUCUUGAUCUUUGUGAGCUACCUACUCUCUCCCUGCCCAUGGCAGUGCCAUUCUACUUUCUGUGCCUAAGUAUUUGUCUGCUCCAAGUACUUAAUGUAAACAGGAUGACAUAUUUGUCUCUUUGUACAUGGCUUUUCUUUUUCACUUGAGAUGUUUUCAAGUUCAGGCAUGUUGCAGUAUGUAUUAGCACUUCAUACCUCUUUAUGGCAGAAUAAUACUCCAUUGUGUGGACAUACCACAUUGUGUGUAUCUAUUCAUCUGUCAAUGGACGUUUCAGUUGCUUCUACCAUUGGGCUACUGUGAAUCACGCUGCUGUGAACACUGAUGUACAAGCAGCUGUUUGAGUUCUUCUCUUCAGUGCUUUUGGAUAUUUAAGAAAGUACUUAUAUACCCAAGUCUGGGAAACCCAGCUUCACAGACACAUGACAUCACUGAAAUGGAUGUCACUUGCUCUAAUGGGGAGAGUCAGGAUGGCCCUGAGCUUGCAGUUUGGACAGUACUGGAAGAUUCUUUUUUUCCUUCAACAACUUAAAAUCCUCUGCACGUUCAGGUGCCUCACCUAUGAUUCCACCUGGAAAUCUCGGUUAUAUUUGAAGAGACACCUGACUUAGGGAGGGAUGAAGAGCUGGUGGCUCAGCAGGGGCCACAGUGACAGUCCAGGAAGGAUAUAGUGGUGCCCAGAGCUAAGGCAGUGAAAGGGAGAGAGGGAUUGAGUGAUGUCAAUGUUUUAUGAGCCAGAAGACCUGUCCAGAGGUGCCCAGGCCUGGCAUCAGCAGGAAAGCGGGGCAUGGCGGCUGACUAUGGUGUCUGUGUAUCAGGGAGUCAACCCAUCCCACAUGCUGAGGCUAGUACCUAGGUGUCUUUCUGUCCCCAACUCUGAUCACUUCUUGACUGCAGCUUGAUUCCUUUUUAUCAGCCAAGUGAGGUGGCACAUGCCUGUGAUCCUAGAACUCUGGGAGGCUGAGCAGGAGAAUCACAAGUUCAUGCCCAGCCUGGGAAACAUAAUGAUUUCACAAGACCCUUUCUUAAAAUAAAACAGAAGAAAGGCUGAGGAUGUAGCUCACUGUGAAGGCCCUGGUUCAAUCCCCAGUACCACACACACACAAAAUCCUUUUUGUGGCUUUAGGAGACUGGACAGUUGCACAUACCUUGCAAAUGAGCCCAUUUUUGCUUUUGCUUUGCUUUUGUUUGGCUCUGCUGCCUGGAAAAUGUCAAGUAUCAUCAGUAUCGCAGAAGUAACUUCAAUUUGGGGGUGGAAUCCUGAUUUUUUUUUUAGAAUGUUCUUGCUUACCAGUUUGAUAAAGUGAAAAUUUCUUUUAUUGCUACAGAUUUGAUGAAAAAAAAGAUCAAGUGUUUUAUCUAAUUUUCAGCAGAUAACCGAAAAUUGCCUAGAUGAUGGGUAGACAGGAAACACUUAAGCCAACAUUCCUCUUUUAUUCUGAGGGUUGUGUAAAACUGUCACUUGCCUCUGAUGACACUGUUAAAAUUGAUCACAUGACCGCAGAAAUGCUGUGAUUGAACCCAAGUGUUAAUCCUGCAUGAUGGGAUCAGUCCCCUGCUUGUGUCAUGUGUUGCUUUAUCCCAAAGUCACACUUCAAAAGCAGCACUGGCUUGUGUUGUGUGAAGGGACCUCUCCAGUAGGGAGAUACCAAGCCCAGCCUUGUGAGUGGUGGGAACCCUGCCCCUCCCUCCCUGUCUGUGGAGUGGGCACAGUGAUGCCCACAUGGCCUCCUUCGCUGGGCAGUUGUGGGUCUCAGGAAGAUCAUCUUAUGUGUAUGGGAGUUUGCAGAGCAUCAAGAGCAUUAGGCAGCAUCCUCAGUCAGGAAUCCAUGGCUGGGUGCACCCUGGGAGCUAUAGGAAAUCAGAGAAUUGGGACUCAGAUGACCAGGUCUCCCUGGGCAGCAGUCUGUGACAUGGUGUUCCCAGCGGCUCAGCUCCCUGAGCCCCUCACCCCUCCUGGUGUGAGGAGAGUUAGAGUUGGUGCUAAUAGUGUUUAUUUUAGAGUAAACACAUCCCUAUACUUCAUCAUGCUACAAAGAGAGGCUUUUAGGUUGGACUAUUCCACAAAUAUUUAUAGAGCACCUCCUAGGAGCAAGGCAUUGUUCCACUUUCUGCCAACACUAGGAGAACAAAUAGAUAUUGUUCCUGCUCAGAUGGGGCCUAUAGUGAAGGAGAGAAGGACAUAAAAAAGCAACAGCAACAGCAGAUAACCCCCACACCAAUAAAUAUGUGACUCAGAGCUGUGACAAACGCCGUGAGGGAGAAACGCGGAGUGUGAGGUGAGAUUCUAACAGGAAAAGAGGGGCUGCUUCUCUCUUCUUGGAGGAAGAAAUGGCUUUCGGGCUGAGGCCUAGCCCAGAAGGGGAGGCAGAGGCUUCUGGCAAAAGGAAUAUCUCUGUGAAGGCAGGACUGAAGGGCAGUGUAGAUGAUGAUGAACCAGAAGAGUCAGUCUGGGUGAGGUGCAGAGGACAGGCCACAGUGGCCACAGUAGACAUGGGAACCAGCUAGGAGGCUACAGCUGUCCCCAGGGAGGAGGUGGCUGUAAGUGGAGGGGCAGGGUUGGGAGAGUCUGGGCCUGCUAGACAUACAGGUGAAGGAAUGGGAGGUGUGAGGCCUUAUGACAUUGCCAGGUUUCUGCUACAUGCAGCUCAGUGUAGGAGGUCCCACUGACUGAGGGGACAUGAGCGUCCAGGGCAUUGUGUCAGUCGGCUUUCUGUCUCUGUUACAAAAUACCUGAGAAUAACCACUUAAAGGAGGAAACGUUUGUUUUGGCUCACAGUUUCAGAGGUUUCAGUCCCAAUAGCACUAUCAGCAGUGGGGCAGGUCUUCAGCACAAGAGCUUAUGGAUAACAUUUAAGAUAUAGACCAUAACAGGGACUGUACGAGUUUCCUAAGAUGCUUCUAGUUUGGAAUCUAGAAAUCUGAAACCAGGGCAUAGCAUCAUCACUUCAGUGUCUGCCUCUAUCUUCAGUGGGUUUCUGUGUCUCUCCUGGUCCUACGAGAUUAGAACACCAGUCCUGUUGGAUUAGAAGCCCACUGUCCUCCAUUAUGAGUCAUUUUAACCAAUUUUAUCUGCAGCAACCCUAUUUCCAAAUAAAGUCCCAUUUGCGGGGGACUCAGUUCAACCCAUAACAGGCACACUGUAACUUUUGUGGUGCACCUGGGCCUCUAGGUCAGAGUGACAAUGGAGGAGAUCCCUAAGGAAAGAAUGAAGAGGAGAAGGAGAGAAGGCCUCAAAAGUCAGGACUGAGAACCUGCAGAGGCCAAGGUACUUUUGGAGGAGGCAGAAAGUAAAGGGAAUGACAGAUGUUGCAACUUGUUUUCUUCUACAAAGUAGAAAGUUUCCUGUCUGAGACUUGUCAAGUUUUAAGAAUUCUGGAUUUCAGAGAUUGGCUGUAUAUUAAUACUGUUUGUCAUAACGAAUGCUUGAUAUAAUUCAGACUCUUGCUAUUUAGAAAUUUUUCAUUAAUCUUUUUAUAAAGUAAGCAUUCCUGUUUUGAUGAGAAGAAUUGAAGAAUCAACCACUCAAUGUGAUUUUUGAGUUCCUGAUUUCAUCUCUCAGUGGCACUCAUUGUCCGCCUCUCUCACUGGGGUGGUGCCUGGAAGAUAAUGAAGGAUACUAUUAUGCUAAACCAAUUGGUAACUGAGGUGCCAAGUGAAAUGAAAAUAGUUGUACACAGGCCAGGACUCAGUGAGCAACCUCCCAUGGUGUCUGCCCCAGGAGCAACUGCUUUUACAGAAUAAUGUUUGUUCAGAAUUUGGGUUGAGGUUGAGUGGGGUGUCAAGGCAUAGGGUGUGGGAACUGACACUUAGUCUGUGCGUUCAGUCCCUCACAUGUGCUGUCCCUGGGGUAGGUGAUAGGAGUCCGAUGCUGUGAAUGAGGGCUUGGAUGCACAGGAGUUUAAGGGUUUAUCCAAGUUGUGCAACAGAGCUAGGAUGUUUUUCUUCCCCAAACUUUGCCUUUAAUAUGGUUUAUUUGAAGACUGUAGAACACCUCUGCCCCCACCAGUCACAUUUAUGAGGCACAGAGGCUGACCGGGCUGUGGAACACAGCCAGAGUUUUUACUUAGCCCAGGACACGAGAAUGGGUUGGGUGUCUGGGUUUGUGUAUCAUCUGGGGGACUUUGAGAUCUUUAUCUGAAAACACCACUAAUGUGCCAGGCAUACCACUAAGCUUGCUGAAUGAAAGUCUCCUGGCUAGGAGUGUGUGGGGGAGUUAUUUUGGAAGAUAUCCCUGUGCAAUUUUGGCAUCAACCCAUUUCCCAUCGACAGUACAGUUGUUCCUUCUUAUCUGUGGUUUUCCUUUCCAUGGUGCCAGUUACCCAUGGUCAAGUGCAGAGAAAAUACUAAAGACAAAUUCCAGAAAUAAUUUGUAGGCUGGAGGUGUAACUCAGUAGCAGAGUGUUGAGGUCCUGGAUUCAAUCCCCAGCACUAUAAAAACAAACAAACAAACAACAAACAAACAAGCAGGCAAGCAAACAAGCAAACACCCCUCCCCAAUUCAUGUGUUUUAGACCAUUCACCAUUGUGUGUAGUGUGAUGAAUUCUUACAUCAUCGCUCUUCGUCCUGCCUGAAAGCUAGCUAUCAUAGUAUCAGAGGGCUACUGUUCAAGUGAUCCUUAUUUUAUGAAUUUGACUCUCAUAGCAUCACAGUGCUUAUGUUCCUUCCCCUCCCUCAAAAGCUCUGUUCCUUGGGAAACCCUUUAGUCCCAGCUGAGUUGGGACCAUUGGUCACUACAAUCUUAGCACCAAUCAGAGGUGGUUGCCUUCCCUCAAGUCACACUGCAUGGGCAAAGAGGGGCAGCUCUCUCAGAAGGCAUCCUUUCUGUGGGAUGACAAUGCUCUUGAGUCACCACUGAAGCCAAGCUUUGUAAAUUUCACCUCUCAUCUAGCUGGGUUUUCUCUGAGACCCCUGGAUACAUAUGCUCUGCAUUUGCAAAAUCAGUGACCAGAGCUAAAGUACAAAUGGUGAACAGGGAACAUGGUGGAGCUUGGAGCCUCUUGCAGAAGCAGGCCUCCCCAUUGGGUGGGCCAGCCAGGGCUUCCUCUUGUUUUAUAAGCAGACAGAGUGAGGCACUGAGCUUCUAGAGUCCAGAUUCUAACUGUAACAGGAGCUGAGGCAGGUUAAUGAUGCCCCUAGUAGAGAUUCCCUGUUCCAUGCAAAGAAAUACAGAGCUACCCACAAGCAAUCUAUGUACAGAAUUAAGCUCCUGAAAUUGUGCUAAAUUAUUUGAUUUAAAUACUGGUCUAUCUAGGGAUGAAGACCUAGGCAAAGUAGAUUCCCAUUAAUAAUGAAUGAUUUGCUGUAUUCUAAUCCUGUUAAGCAUACAGUUCCUCUGCAAAUGUAUUAGUGGCGAUGUGUGUUUGUGAAUUAAGCCCUUGGUGUAUCAGGUUUAUGAGCCUAAUUGUCUAUUCAAAAGGCUAUCACUUCAUCACCUCAUGAAAAUUAAAAAGGUCCCUUUUGUUGGAGUGUUUUGUUAAUCCUCUGAAUGACAUUUUCUCUUUCCUUCUCAUUUUCUUUUUAUUGAGCUUUAUUAUGAUUUAAAUGCAACUGAAGCAAAUCCUGCCAUUACACUGAAAUUGAUUAUUAAAAUAAUACUGAUAAUUAUACAUAGGUACUAGAAAAUAACACAUGUGGUGCGUUCACAUGGAGAUUAAACAUCCCCUCCCAUUAUACUGAAAAAGAUGCAGGGGACUAAAAAUAGGAGAACAGUAUAAUAUAUCUCUAAAAUGGGUUAAAGAUUUAGUGACUGCUCUACCUCAAGGAAGUUUGAGUGAUUUCUACUAAAAUUAUCAUCUGGAUCCAAAAAUGACAUCUAAUGAGAAGGUAUGAGCAAUUCAUCUGAAGAUAUCUUAAUAUUAGGCUCUUAAAUGGUUGAAGGACUUUCUUAUUUAGCUCCUUUAUUCAUUUUUUCCCAACUAUGUUUUUCUGUUCUUUGAAAGAAAAAAAACCCUUUUAGAUGAAAAAAUUUCAGUGCUUGUACUCUGUAGUGAAGUAGCACUCAGGGGAAAGUUUUAGCUAAAUUCUGCUUGGCUACAUUUGAACAACAAAAGAAUUCCUCUUUUUUUGGAAGUUAAAAAAUAACCUUUUCUUUUGGUAUGUGUUUAGAAAACUCAAAGGUACCUUUGUUUUUAAACUUCAACUGACUAAGGACUUAAACUUUUGUUUGAAGUAAUUUGCUUUUGAAAAAGCCAAGUUUGGGGAGGUGAGAAAGUGCAUGCUCAGCGCUCUGCCAAGCACUCUAUGCGGGUCUCCCUCUUGCUGCUAAGGAAUGUGCAGAGUCUAUGCCUGAAUGCUUGUAGCAGCAGGCAGAGGGCCCGGUGACCACCUAGACACUGAGCACAUAUAUGACACUUGAGACACUUUAGGAAGAGAUAGGGCUGGUUAGUGCCUUAUUGCUGCUGUAACAAAUUGUCAGUGGUUUAAUACACCACCAGUGUGUUAUCUCAUACCACAAUAUGGCUGGGAUCCUUUCUGGAAGUUCUGGAAAGUAGCUGUUUCCAACUCACUGCAGGAUUUGGUUCCAUGCAGUUGUUGUACUGGAGUCCAUACAUCCUCCUUGGCUGUCAGCUAGGAGCUUCUCUUGGCUCCUAGGGACCUUACUCUGGUCUCUGCAUAUGGCCCUUAUGCCUCAGAACCAGAAGGCUGAGUCCUUCUCACCCUGGGAAUCACUCUGAACUUGCCCUUCUUGUAUCUUACCUGUCUGUCUUCCUGCUACAUCCAGAGACUUCAGCUGGCAAAAGUCUAUAUCCUUACUGACAUCUGUAGAAUGUUGUUUUGCAGCAUAAUGUGACACCAGAAGUUUCUGGAAUUAGGGUAUGGACAUUUUUCUGGACUAGAGAGAAUUACUGUUUCUACCACAGCCUGCAAGAGACUCUUGUUCUAGUCUGUUAGAAUGGAGUCCUGUUUAAAGUGACAUUGUCACAGGAAGGACUUUAUAGUUACUUCUACCAUUUUCCAUGAGCGGAACUCAAGUCAUAGUUUCUACCUGCACUCAGGGAGGGGAUUCCACAAGGAUGUGGGUCAUGGGGGUCACCCUGUGGUGUGUCUACCACAGAGUGUUAGCCUGUAGCUGCUUGGUAUUAGGUUAUUGGUUGCCUCACAGUUGUUGGGCCAGGUGGCCAUUAAGGCUUGGUUACAGUGAGGGAUGGAGGAAAGGAGGGGAGGGAGGCUUUCAUCCAGUCUUUCCAGUGUAUUUUUCCCCCACUGCAGUUGAUCCCAGGUAGCUUUCUUUUGUCUGACUCUUCUGUCUCUUAUUACUAUCCACCUCCACUCACCCCUGCGUAUGGAAUCUGCUGGAAAUGUUGAGAUUUUUCCUCGGAGUUGUCUGGCAAGGUUUUCCUUUUACCUGGACAAUCUGUUAUUUCAGGCUGAGAAAACAGACCUGAGGCUUGGGUGUGGGGACGCGUUGAUGCCUGAGGUUGCUCUGGAGGACUAACAGGGCCUGAGCACAGGACUCGCUCUUGGCCCUCCCAUCUGACAGGCAAGAGCUAGGUGACUGGGGUGCUGAGGAGAUGAGAGAGGCCGCAUAGCGCCUCCUAGAGGGGAGCACCUGAGGUGGGCAUCUAAAGCCACAGAGGGACAGUGUUCUGAUUGUCCCCAGACUCGUUCUUCCUGGCUGUACUUCUCAACUCCCCCCUCUCCAUUUCUUCAAGAACCAUUUGCAAAUUGAGACAUUUCCUACUGAUAUUCCAGGCACUGACACAGAUCUCUUCUUCGCCUGUGGAAUGAGCCUGGCUUAGUUACUGGAAACUUUGCCUCUUUGUUAGGUGGGGGUUUAUCAUCACCACAGCGAGGAGAAGCACAAAAUGCCAUUAACAUGAGAGCACAAACGUGUUUCCUGGAUUUAUAUUCACCAACAAAACAUAAUUAUGUUUCUCUCCAAAAUAGUGAUACUAUUUGGUAUCUUUUCUGAAAUAGACUGCUUUGCAUUUUGUCUUAUCUAGAAAACAGCCAGUUUAGCACAGUAGUUCUCAGCAAAAAAUAUUCUGUCUCCCAUGCCAUUUACUUAGUCUAAAUGAUCUAUUUUAUUUCAGCUCACUGGGAGUUUUGGAUUGUGCCUCUGCUGUAUAUGUGUGUAUGUUUAUAGGUGGCAAUCUUUGUGAUAGGUAGGAGUCCAGAUAUUGACCCUAAAUGAAUUUUAUAACAUAUUAAAAUGUUGCCCCUAUCCAUUGUCACUUUUGUAUAGAGAAGAGAUAUUCCACAGGAGUAGCUCUCAUUUUGUGUUUCAAUUUAAAAUUCAAUUCAGUUCACAUAGUUGCAGUUUAGUAGUUCUGCAAACGUUUUUCCAUCUCAAAUAAGACAGAAAUCCACACUUCUUCCAUAUGUGGAAAAGAAAAGAGAAACACACACACUCUGUCUGUUCUGGGUGUAAGUUCUGCUAGCAUCAUGAACUUGCUAGCGAUCAAUCUCACAGGUCUAAUUUAAGCUGCAACUCAAAGAUAGAAACUGUAAAAUGUAAUAUGACUCUCCUGGCGCAAUGGUUUUUUCGGGGAGAUUAAUUCUGAGAUGUAUUUAACAAGAUUGAAGUAUCAGAGAUUUUGAUAAGUAAGAAUAAGAAUGCUAAAAGGACCCUUUAAUAAAUGAAGACAUUUCAGUGUCUUAUUUUGGUCCUCUGACAGAGCCAUUAUAUCUAAAUGUCUAAUCUCUUACCUUCAUUACUACAUCACUCUUUAGAGAGACUGUCUUAUGUUAUUUAGAAAUCCUGAACAUUAAGAUUCAAUAUUGUCCCUGUAGCUGGUCCUACAUGUUUCUGUCUCUUGCUGUAAAGACCAGGACAUGGAAGAGAAACUCGAAUGGGCCCAUGGUGACUUCUGCCCAAGAUCUCAAUGUUCCUGGAUAAACACAGUACAGAGUAUUGUGUAUGUAUUGUGCAUGUAUUUGCUGUUCAGUGUCUACUGAAAUGCAAUUGCUGGCUUAUGAGUAAAUAGCCAGUUGCCCCCUUAGCAUAGUGUGGAAUUGAUCUCGGCAAAGGGGCUCCUUGGGGUGCCCAGCUGCCCCAUGCAUGUUGCCUAAUGUCCUAGGCUCUGCAGAACUUUCAAAAAAUUAACACACUCACCAAAUAUGUUUUUCUUGCUCAUUAACUUGAUAAAGCUCACUGGUUUUUUAGAAUCACAGUAGCAAGUUAUAAAUGAUGUAUGAAAUGAAAAAUCUUUUCUCACCCAAUGAGCAGGAAGAGAGCACUGACAAUGCUUUGUCACUGCUGCUGCUGCUGUUUGCAAUGACAUCAAGUCAUGGAGUGGGCCCAGGACCAGGGAUGACCUUGGAAGGAGUCAGGGGUGACCAGGCAAUAAGUUCUCAGGCAGACCCUUGAAGUCCCGGGGAUUCCCUCUUCUCGCAUGCAUGGUGCUGGAAAGCUGUAGACAAGAUGAAAGAGUGCAGCAAGGGAGGUGGUGGCCUGCUCUCUGGGGACAGUGUGGCCUGGCUCCAGUUUGGGAGUCAGAAUGUUCCUCUUGCGCCUGUUGAUGUUUGAAGCCUUCCCUUUGCAUUUGGCUUAGCUUGUGUUACAAACUUAAUAGAUUAGCAAAUAUUUGCGUGCUCAUAUACCCCAAACUAGGCCAGCAUUGUAAGGACAAAAUAAGCACAAGCAUAGUAUGUAAACCAUAGAAACUCAGCCUUUGAUGUCAAAAUGCCUGCAUGCUAGUCACGUGACACACUACAGAAUGUACUAAAUCAACAUUUUCCCCGAGUAGAGUUAUUUUAUUUUAUUAUAUUUAUUUAUUUAUUUUUGAGGUGCUAGAAACAGAAACCAGGGCCUCAACCAUGGUGUGCAAGUGCUCACUGCUGAGCACUCCCAUGGGAGUGCACUCCCAUCCUCUUAUUUGUAUUCUUAUUGUUGCCCUUAUAUUAUCACGAUGCUUCAUACAUCAUAAUUGAAAAUAUAUUACUGCACAUUUACCUACUUUUGUAAUUAAUACUUAGUCAUUGUUUUUUAAAAAACGAGAAGACUAACAGUGAGAAAGGACAGCUUGCACUGGAUCUGUCCGAUGAGAAUGGGUCAGUAUUAACUGGACUAUUGUAUAGACCGGAGUGUCUAAACCUGGCCUGUAUCUGCUCUGUACCUAAUGUCUAUAAGGUGUGACUAAAAAAUACAGUGAAUGUUUAAAUUAAAAAAAAUAUAGUAAAAGACACACUGCCAUUAAUUGUCCUCAAAGUACUCCCCCAUGUUUCAAACACUUAUCCCAUUGUUCCUGCCACUUUCUGAAGCAGUUCUCUUUCAUGUCCUUAGUUGUGCUGCUCUGACAUCCUUAUUGUCCUGAAUCAGUUCAAAACAUUUACUUUCCCUGGUCAUUUUGAUUUUGGAGAAAAGAGUAGUCACACAGUACCAGAUCUGGUGAAUAAGGUGGAUAAGGACACACAGUACUGUUUUUAUAAGCCUGCCUUUCCCUUAGAUGACACUUGGCAGUGGCAUUCACUAUAUUUUGUUCACACCUUGUAAAGACACUCAGGACUUCCAAACUGCUUCAGAAAAUGGCAAGAAUGACGGGAUAGUGUGUUGGAAGUAAGGGGAAAUAUUUAGAAGGGGAUCAAUGACAAUUAUUUUUUACUGUAAUAAAUUAAAAAUAUUUAACUUUUACCAUAUAUUUUGAGCAUACCUCACAGACCAGAGUGCCAACUUACUGAUUUCAAAUGUGUAUGUGAGCUAGGAAGGGAUAUUAUGAUUUGAAAGUUGUGGAUGAGCAUGGACUUUUAACAGGGAGUCUGAUGAAAGAAUUUGAAUGUCUACUGGCGCCAGGCUCUGAGAAUCAACUCUAGCUGUCUUAGCUGCUCCUGGGACUGGUUGUUGUGUCCUGGGUGGGGCAGUGCUCUGACCUCAGUCAGGAUGGGAGGCUGUCUUCACUCCAUGUUUCCAUGAUUGUUAAAGUCCUCCUGAGUGACAUAGGUUUUCUUAUUUAUUUAGUGUAAUCAGAUGACAGUCACAUCAUACAGAUCUUUGGGUCUUUCUCUAAUUUUGGAUGGCUUGGCGUGACUUUGGUCUGCAGUUGUCAAUUUUAAAAUCCAACUGCAAGAGGCGGUGUUGUCUCCAAACUUGAGUGUCUCAGUUUUGUCCCUGUUACCCUCUGCUGCAUAAUAAUUGUUGUUGCACACCCUCUGUGCUGUACUAGAGUAGACAAGUUUAUAGUAUCACUUCAGAAAUCUCAAUAGGCACAAGCAGAAGGAUACUAGUGACUUGAUGAACAGUAACUAUGGGUUUUAAGUUUGGCUUUGGUAUGAGUUUAGGGUGAAUUUCUGGGAGAUUAUCUUUACUCAUUUAGUUCAGCCAUUUUAACAAUAGCCAUCUAAUGGCUCAAUGUUGCUUGAAUAUAAAUGAGUGUCUUACUGGGGGAGCACUGAACUGCCUCUAAGGUGGAAAUGACUGGGGUUAUGACUUGGUUAGUCUGACCUUUCAUCUGGCUUCACAGUUGGCAUGUAUUGCUACAUCAUUAGGAGUUUCCUGUGAUUCUGUCUUGAAUCUCAUGGAUUGGAAAGGUAGCUAAAAAAAGAUUCUGACUGUCUGUCAAGGUUGAUUUUGGUGGAGACUAUAUGUAUUUAUGUUUUCUGAUUCUUCUCAAUAUAAACGUCAAUAGAUAAAAAGCCUCCUAUGGCUUUUAUAAGCGAUGUAAACUAAAAAAUAUUAUAGUAUAUGGUAAACUUCCCAUAGAAGACACUGGCUACUCUGUAAAUACUAGGAAAACAUUAAUCUUGGAAAUUUGGUAUGGCUGUAUUUCUAGAAGAUAGAACUAACUCAUUUUUAUAGUACAUAAAUAACUUUAUUAUUAUUAACCAUUUUCUCAAUGCUUUGGAGCCAGUUCCAAGAUUAACAAAUGGCAGUCUCAAUUCGUCUAGCUGUUUAUAUAAUUACCACCUAUGAAGUAAAAUUUUUAGACAAUAAAAGAGCAGACAGUCUCUAAGAUGAAGUCACCCUAGACACCAGAGAAGACACAUGCAGCUUUGAAAUACUGUUUGCAUUAUGCCAAGGAUUACAGGAUGUUGAGUCCGCAGUAGGAAUUUGGAGGCAAAGAUAGAUACAAUAGUCUUGAUGUUAGGAGGUUAAACGCUUAAUAGAAGUGUGUGGACCUUGCUUUAAGACCGCAAGAAAAGUGGGAAUUGAACAUGACUAUAAAGGUGUAUAGAUUUGGCAGCAUGAAUAUAAGACAAAGAUGAUUUGCCUGCUACAGAAAGCUCUCAGUCUGGGCAUAGAUGUAUAACUAACAAUGUUUGCAAUGUCCAGAUGCCUCCUGCUCCCUGGAUCGGGCAGGUUUUUGGUUUUAUUUUCUCUUCAGAGAAAUUAUGAAAGAAGAUGGUUUGGUGUCUCACUCAUCAUUACAUGGAAUUUGCUCCAGAAAGCACAUUGGGUUUUUCUGUUUACAUAUCUCAACAAACUCAGCCUCUGAGGAAAUACACGGAGAGCCAGCCAGAAAGAUGUGGAAGUGAAGAGGUGAACUAUUCACUUCAAGGCAGCCUUGCCUCUUGGCCCGAAUUGACAAGAUGCUGCCUGUGUGCAUGUUGGAGUUAGUUGGAAAGUUAGCUCAGUGCAGAACGCCCUGUCAUCAAAGGGGACAUUGCCCCUUAAAUUUUGAGAGUACCAGACACACAGCCCACCUAAUAGUAAUGCUAACAGGGGAUCAGAUGCACAUGCAUAUUUAUGACACUCACCUUGUGUUUCUACAGCCUUUCUUCCAGGAACUCAAAAGCUUCAUAAAUGGUACCUCAGGGACUGUGCCAGGGAGUUGAAAGAGAUCACCUGUUUGCUCUUUGACUCAGGGCAGGUUGUGUGGAUUUUCGGAGCCUCCCAGCCCCUCCUGUUCUGCAGUCCCCGGGAGGAGAGACUCACAAACCUCCUACUGGUAGUCCAUCUAAUCAUGAAAUUCCUCCUCUUCCUUGGAAGCCUGUUGUUUUUCUCUCAGAAGAGGCUUUAAUAGCCUGAUCACAACUUAUGCCAGUGGACUGUUCUAAAUUUACCCCAGCAUUCUUUCUUAAAGCCUGCGAAGUAUCUUACUCAGCCCCGACUCUUGGGACUGUCUGGUUGAUUUCCUUGCUUUCCUCUACCCUGCAUAUGGGUGUUUAAGAAUGUGGUAUUUGGGGUCAAAUAGACAUCAGUCCAAGUGAACUUCAACUCCAGUAUAUCCUGGCUGUGAUUUGAGGCAAAUAACCUGCCUGGCCUUGUUAUGGUUUGGUUUCCUAUCUCUAAAAUGGGAAUAAUACUGUACAUGUUUUAAUCCUUGGGUUGUUAUGAGGAUUCAAUGAGAUGAUACAGACUUUGUCAAGUACAGCGUCUGGCAUAUGGAGCUGUUUCCCUGCUACAUUGCUUUAAGAUACAGAGUUCCCUAUAUUCUGAAACAGACAUGUUUUUGAGAAGCUGUGUAAGAGUGCCAGCUUGGUGAAGGCAGGGCUGGGAGGUGGGUCGUUUGUGGUUGGCAACUGUUUUGAUGGAUCUUGAUUUCUUUCCUUGUGGUCAAUGCUCAUGCCAUACUGACUGUCAGAUGUUUACAAAUGAAUGAAUUGUAAGUCUGGCUGGGAGCCAGUUAAAAGAAUAUGUAAUCACCUUGAGCACAUCCUGCUACACAUGCAAGAAACCCAUCUCAAAAAGACAAACACUGUGAUUUCACUUACAAGAGCUACAUGGAGUACUCAGAGUUAGGGACAGAAAGAAUAGUUUACCAGGGUCUGGGGCAGGGAAAUGGAGAGGCAUUGUCUAACAGGGGCAGAGUUCCAGUUUGGGAAGAUAAAAGGUUCAGGACAUAGAUGGUGGUGAUGGCUGUGUUUAAUGACCACAGAAGUGUACAUGCUUAAAAUGCUCAGUUUUGUUAUACUUUCUUUACAACAAUAACAAAAGAAUACAUGAUGAGUAAUUUUGUGAUGAGAAACUUCUUUGAUACCACAAACAAUUAGCCUUUUAGUUUCACUGUGGCGUAUUUCCUACAUAUCAGGCAAUUCAUUCAUCACAAAUAUAUUCCAUACUUGCUUUAUACUGGGUAUUUUGGGGGAUUGUAGAAGAUGGUCUCUAAGUAAUACACUGUAUGCUCCUCAGGACACAUCAUGCAGGCAGGGAAAUGACUGAGAUUGUAGAUGAGAGAGGUCUGUGAGUGGAGGCCAGGAGAAAAGGGAGGACAUUCAAGGUAGGAUAAAGGGCUGGCCCCGAGGCAAUUUGAGUCACUGGAAAGGGUGAAAUGAUUGAGUUAAAAAUUGGGACUAUUAGAGACUUACAUGGAGCCUUGAACACCAGGCAAAAAGGCUUUAGAAUUGAAUCAGCAUGGAGCCAAUUUUGAAAAGAGACAAUAAACAGCAUUCAUGAAACAUUCCUCAGUGGCAAGACCUGGUUUUCAGAGAAGGGAGCUCAGUUCGGGGUGGCUUAUGUGUUUCCCUCUCUGUGGCUGCUGCUUUCUUCAGGGCUAUGCAGCUCUUUCUACAUAGAUGGCCCUACCCUGAUGUGGAUUUCCAGCUCCCCAAGUACGUGCUGAGUAUGUCUAAAACUCUUCCCAAACCAUGCUUCCUCCCAACUUCCAAGUUUCUGUUUUGGCAACACGCUCUAGACACACACAAAAUACUAACGUUUCUUUGCCCCAUGUCUCUCCCUCAAUCUCUGUACUGUAGAUAUUAAAUCAUUUUCUUUUUUCUUUUGGAUUAAAUUUUUUUUCUUUUGACAAAGGCCUGAUGAGGUGCUCCAGUGUUAUGGAAACUAGGGAGAAUAAGAACUUAAAAGGAGCCAGUGGAUUUGGCAAUGAGGUGAUCACUGGCAGCUCUUGAAAGUGUUUUCAGUACAGUGAUAGGAGUCUCUGUGAGACCAUAAAUGGCUGCAUAGGAACUUGCUAAGUGGCCUGUGGCUGAGAGGGGUAUGGCACCUCACAUGAGUCAUUUCUGAUAGGAUGUUUUUUCUUUGCAAGGACAAAAACCUGAAAAGAAUCUUUUCAUCAAAGGUUAUCUGGCUCCACUAUAACCUUGCUUCUCUCAUUCCUCUGUGUUCCCUAGAUGGGGACAAUGGCAGGUAGACAGGAAUACUCCAUCCUCCCAACCUGUCCACAGUACAGUAGCACACACCUGAGCUUCACUGCCUCCUGGAGAAGCCUGAGCCACCUGUUGUACGAUGUGCCCUGUAAGGGCUGGCAUGAUGCAGGGGGUGGACGUGCAGAGCCAUGCAAUUUCUCUGUUCCCCAAUGCUUUUAUCCAGAUUAUUUGCCUUCUUGAAUUAAAUAAUUGAUUAACUUUGAAGCAUUAUAUGGAAUU